This 253-nucleotide ribosomal RNA is filed under the name uncultured bacterium. RNAcentral's name for it is "partial 16S ribosomal RNA". It matches the Rfam family "Bacterial small subunit ribosomal RNA", at positions 524 to 776 of the family's 1533-position model. The record is from RNAcentral.
UACGAAGGGGGCUAUCGUUGCUCGGAUUGACUGGGCGUAAAGGGCGCGUAGGCGGUUUGCAUAGUCAGACGUGAAAUUCCUGGGCUUAACCUGGGGGCUGCGUUUGAUACAUGCAGGCUUGAGUUCGGAAGAGGGUCGUGGAAUUCCCAGUGUAGAGGUGAAAUUCGUAGAUAUUGGGAAGAACACCGGUGGCGAAGGCGGCGACCUGGUCCGAUACUGACGCUGAGGCGCGAAAGCGUGGGGAGCAAACAGG